UUCUCCAAGAUGGAGGGGGAAAUCAGUAAAGGAUAGGAGAAUUCUGAGGAAGUCUUUUGACAACAGCCUUAAGGAAGCCAUUAAACAGCUCCUCAUUCACAUUGUGCCCAUGAAGUGGCAUUUAAAUGACCGGAAGCUGUACUCUAUGAGGCUUCUCACUUUCUCCUUUUUUUCCUAUUAGCAUCCAUAAAGUACAAAUACAAACAAAGGACUGAAGGAGAAGAACUGUGCAGCUGUGACCUGAGUGAACACAUAUGCAAAAUGGAGGCAGGGUGAGCAUGAGAACAAAGAUACUAUGGGCUUUUCUUUGGCUAGACAACCGCAGUUUGAACUGGAUGUGUGUAAGCCAGGAAGUAGCACAUAUGGACAGAGAUCCCAUUUGUCUUACAGUGAUGGUUAGGAUGCUAUGGUGCUGUUUUGAUCACAAGAUUUUGACUUAAGGCCUGGUUUUAGCUUUGGAGACACGUAAUGUCUGAACGUGUGGCGAUGGCAUCUACACCACAAAUGUUGUUCUGCGUGGCUUUGGUCCUCUCAGCAUUCUGAUUAUGUUUGGCAAAGCCUCUCUCUGUUACCUCCAUUGCAAGAAAACAUCCGUGACAGCUUUUCAGCCACAGGAAUUAUCAGUGAAGGUACUCUGUUGAGCACUGGUUGGACAUGCUCAGUGACCUGGACCAGAACCCUUGGUUUGUGAUGUGGGAUUCUAAAAGAGGAUUAUGACAAGAGUACAAGCAUAGAGCUACCACCCUGCAGUUGCAGAGCAGUGUGUCCCAGUUCUCCCUUCUGGACAGGAACAGAGGCUGCCUGGAACCUCUUUAACACCUUUUCCAAAUCUGUUCCACUGGGUUCAGUAAAAAACCCUGUAAUUUCCUACAGUUUGUUCUGCAUCUGUUCAGGUAGUACUACCACUAACAUUUAUACCAGAAAUGUCAGCACUCUCUGUCAAACAGGCAUUUCCUGGAAAAGCCUGACAUUUCUCAGUGGAAGUUCUUUCUUCUUUUUCUCCCUUGGGAAUGAAAUAAGCAACACAUCCCUGCCAAUGAGAGCCAUGAAACUUCUGUGUUCUGUACCUAAUUCUGAAGAAGAGAUUUAUUUCAGACUUGGUCUUCAGCUGAUACAGAGAAGUGAAUCCACAGAUUUCACAUAUCUGACAGUCAGCAAUGCUAGACAGCAUCAAACACAUCAUCAGAGUUGCCCUGGCUGUUAUUCAAUGAGAAAAGAUGGAGCAGAGCACCAGCGUAUCCUGAGAAAUCAAUAAAGCUGGAGCCUCUUGUGUAAAUCUCUCACAAAGCCAACAGAACCAUUCAUAAAUUUUAAAGGUUCAGUGAAGAAAAAAGUAUACUUGAGCUACAAAAAGCAAGUUCUUCCCAGAGCCUAAAUGACACUCAUCAUGUGAGUAGAUGUGACAAGGAUACAUUUAUAAAAGGCUUUUGUUUUGG
Non-coding RNA from Coturnix japonica (Japanese quail), 1436 nucleotides. Lineage: Eukaryota; Metazoa; Chordata; Aves; Galliformes; Phasianidae. The record is from RefSeq and is a predicted model, not a curated record.